AUACAUGCAAGUCGAGCGAACUGACGAGGAGCUUGCUCCUUUGACGUUAGCGGCGGACGGGUGAGUAACACGUGGGUAACCUACCUAUAAGACUGGAAUAACUCCGGGAAACCGGGGCUAAUGCCGGAUAACAUAUCGAACCGCAUGGUUCGAUAGUGAAAGACGGUUUUGCUGUCACUUAUAGAUGGACCCGCGCCGUAUUAGCUAGUUGGUGAGGUAACGGCUCACCAAGGCGACGAUACGUAGCCGACCUGAGAGGGUGAUCGGCCACACUGGAACUGAGACACGGUCCAGACUCCUACGGGAGGCAGCAGUAGGGAAUCUUCCGCAAUGGGCGAAAGCCUGACGGAGCAACGCCGCGUGAGUGAUGAAGGUCUUCGGAUCGUAAAGCUCUGUUGUUAGGGAAGAACAAAUGUGUAAGUAACUGUGCACAUCUUGACGGUACCUAACCAGAAAGCCACGGCUAACUACGUGCCAGCAGCCGCGGUAAUACGUAGGUGGCAAGCGUUAUCCGGAAUUAUUGGGCGUAAAGCGCGCGUAGGCGGUUUUUUAAGUCUGAUGUGAAAGCCCACGGCUCAACCGUGGAGGGUCAUUGGAAACUGGAAAACUUGAGUGCAGAAGAGGAAAGUGGAAUUCCAUGUGUAGCGGUGAAAUGCGCAGAGAUAUGGAGGAACACCAGUGGCGAAGGCGGCUUUCUGGUCUGUAACUGACGCUGAUGUGCGAAAGCGUGGGGAUCAAACAGGAUUAGAUACCCUGGUAGUCCACGCCGUAAACGAUGAGUGCUAAGUGUUAGGGGGUUUCCGCCCCUUAGUGCUGCAGCUAACGCAUUAAGCACUCCGCCUGGGGAGUACGGUCGCAAGACUGAAACUCAAAGGAAUUGACGGGGACCCGCACAAGCGGUGGAGCAUGUGGUU
This 914-nucleotide ribosomal RNA is filed under the name Staphylococcus chromogenes. RNAcentral describes it as "bacterial SSU rRNA". It matches the Rfam family "Bacterial small subunit ribosomal RNA", at positions 51 to 946 of the family's 1533-position model. The record is from RNAcentral. Lineage: Bacteria; Bacillati; Bacillota; Bacilli; Caryophanales; Staphylococcaceae.